RNAcentral lists this long non-coding RNA (226 nucleotides) under Gossypium raimondii (Peruvian cotton). Its description in RNAcentral is "long non-coding RNA (GRAI_LNC003847)". Lineage: Eukaryota; Viridiplantae; Streptophyta; Magnoliopsida; Malvales; Malvaceae. The record is from RNAcentral.
GAAAUUCCUUUUUACCAUAAACCUUAUCAUUUUGAAAUUACAUGGGAUUCUCAUCCCAAUCUAAAAUUAGGGAAGUAUGGAAUACUUAGAUCUCUGGGUCUGCAACUUAUAUUUUGAAGAGGAAGCUGAAGUUCAUACGGGUCAGUUUGCAGGUGUGGAAUGUUGGAGAUAAAUCCGUAUAAGUAACGAAUAAGAAAAAAAAUAAUAAUAAUUAAAAAGAUCAAAC